RNAcentral lists this ribosomal RNA (377 nucleotides) under uncultured bacterium. RNAcentral's name for it is "bacterial SSU rRNA". It matches the Rfam family "Bacterial small subunit ribosomal RNA", at positions 521 to 896 of the family's 1533-position model. The record is from RNAcentral.
UAAGACAGAGGUGCCAAGCGUUAGGCGGAAUCACUGGGCUUAAAGCGUGUGUAGGCGGAAUUGUAAGUACCUUGUGAAAUCCCACGGCUCAACCGUGGAACUGCUCGGUAUACUGCUUUUCUUGAGCCACUUAGGGGCUGUCGGAACAAACGGUGGAGCGGUGAAAUGCGUAGAUAUCGUUUGGAACGCCAAAGGUGAAAACAGACAGCUGGGAGUGUGCUGACGCUGAGACACGAAAGCCAGGGGAGCGAACGGGAUUAGAUACCCCGGUAGUCCUGGCCCUAAACGAUGUCGACUAGAUCGUGGUGGCUCUGACGCCAUCACGGUCGAAGCAAAAGUGCUAAGUCGACCGCCUGGGAAGUACGGUCGCAAGGCUA